This 200-nucleotide unclassified non-coding RNA is filed under the name soil metagenome. RNAcentral's name for it is "partial contains internal transcribed spacer 2 and large subunit ribosomal RNA". The record is from RNAcentral.
GCGUCAUUGCAUCCCUCAAGCGUAGCUUGGUAUUGGGUUUUCGCCCCCGCGGCGUGCCCGAAAAUCAGUGGUGGUCCGGUGCGACUUUAAGCGUAGUAAAUUUCCAUCCCGCUUUGAAAGUUCGCCCCGUGUCCGGCCAGACAACCCCGUAUUUUUCAAUGAUUGACCUCGGAUCAGGUAGGGAUACCCGCUGAACUUAA